AUCUCUACGGUGACAACAGAGUCCACGAGUUUACAGGAACAGACGGACCAAGUGGAUUUGGCUUUGAAUUGACAUUUCGUCUGAAGAGAGAAACUGGGGAGUCUGCCCCACCAACAUGGCCAGCAGAGCUGAUGCAGGGCCUAGCCCGAUAUGUCUUCCAGUCAGGUAAUGGCCCAGAGGUUGGGGUGCUGGUCCUGUCCUGUGGCCACCAGCCUGGUGGGCUUUGGGAACUUGCAGGCAUAUUUUGAUGUCUACAGAGUCCUUUCGUGAGUGGAAAACUAUGUUGACCUUAACAGACCGAGAUUACGUCAGUGUCCUGACAUCCUGAGGCUUUGUUGCUGUCUGUCAUCACUAGUCUGUUCCCUGUUCCCAGUGGCCUGGCUGUCCCUGUGUCUGCUUCCAGGCCUCAAGUACACAGGCUGACCUUGGCUCCGUUUGGAAGGAUAGUAGACUGGAGCUUGCACCCUUCCCUCACAGGGCGGAGGGGAUGCUAAAAUCAGAGCUGAAUUAGAUUAUCCCAAUGCCCUCCAAGAGAUUGUCCUUUGCUCCCACUGCCCCCUGGGGACUGCUGCAAUGGAUCUUGGGUAAGGCCUUUGUGCUGGGAGUGAUCUUACUUUCUUAGGUCACUCGGCCAGAACCCCCCAGCCUGCAGAGGCUUCAGAGCUCCUGAAUAUUCUCAGUGCUAAUGUUGAGGGAGUUGAGAGGACUUACAUGACCUAGAUUCUGUUUCUUUGAU
RNAcentral lists this long non-coding RNA (736 nucleotides) under Rattus norvegicus (Norway rat). RNAcentral describes it as "long non-coding RNA NONRATT001807". Lineage: Eukaryota; Metazoa; Chordata; Mammalia; Rodentia; Muridae. The record is from RNAcentral.